UGGGGAAUAUUGCACAAUGGGCGCAAGCCUGAUGCAGCGACGCCGCGUGAGGGAUGGAGGCCUUCGGGUUGUAAACCUCUUUCGCCAGUGAAGCAGGCCAUCUUCUUUGUGGGGUGGUUGACGGUAGCUGGAUAAGAAGCGCCGGCUAACUACGUGCCAGCAGCCGCGGUAAUACGUAGGGCGCGAGCGUUGUCCGGAAUUAUUGGGCGUAAAGAGCUCGUAGGCGGCUGGUCGCGUCUGUCGUGAAAUCCCCUGGCUUAACUGGGGGCUUGCGGUGGGUACGGGCCGGCUUGAGUACGGUAGGAGAGACUGGAAUUCCUGGUGUAGCAGUGGAAUGCGCAGAUAUCAGGAGGAACACCGGUGGCGAAGGCGGGUCUCUGGGCCGUUACUGACGCUGAGGAGCGAAAGCGUGGGGAGCAAACAGG
Molecule: ribosomal RNA, 425 nt
Filed under: bacterium
Lineage: Bacteria
Description: partial 16S ribosomal RNA
Rfam family: Bacterial small subunit ribosomal RNA
Source: RNAcentral